RNAcentral lists this ribosomal RNA (376 nucleotides) under uncultured Serratia sp. RNAcentral describes it as "bacterial SSU rRNA". It matches the Rfam family "Bacterial small subunit ribosomal RNA", at positions 521 to 896 of the family's 1533-position model. Lineage: Bacteria; Pseudomonadati; Pseudomonadota; Gammaproteobacteria; Enterobacterales; Yersiniaceae. The record is from RNAcentral.
UAAUACGAAGGGGGCUAGCGUUAAUCGGAAUUACUGGGCGUAAAGCGCACGCAGGCGGUUUGUUAAGUCAGAUGUGAAAUCCCCGGGCUCAACCUGGGAACUGCAUUUGAAACUGGCAAGCUAGAGUCUCGUAGAGGGGGGUAGAAUUCCAGGUGUAGCGGUGAAAUGCGUAGAGAUCUGGAGGAAUACCGGUGGCGAAGGCGGCCCCCUGGACGAAGACUGACGCUCAGGUGCGAAAGCGUGGGGAGCAAACAGGAUUAGAUACCCUGGUAGUCCACGCUGUAAACGAUGUCGAUUUGGAGGUUGUGCCCUUGAGGCGUGGCUUCCGGAGCUAACGCGUUAAAUCGACCGCCUGGGGAGUACGGCCGCAAGGUUA